GUAGCUUGCUAGUUUGAUAUUCACGCUCUUGGGUCCAUAAUUUCUCAACAAACACUAUUAAAAUUGCGUUAAAAAUUUGAACCACUUUGAGAUUUCAAGGGCUUUAUUGAUUGCAAUCAAAUAUCUAUAAUUUGGCUAAGCAUUUAAAAUUUUCAAAGUCACCUCCCACAACGAAGGUUCCAUGCUUCUCCUACAUGCAAGGCUUAGAAAAGAUCUCAAUUUGCUUAGUAAUCUUGACGCAAUAUGGGCUCUCGUCAUGGCUUCUAAGAAAAAUUUCCAACUAAGAAUUUUCAUUCAUGUAACCCUUUACGUGCGCAUCCUUCCCUUCCAAAUAAACAAAACAACUCCCAAAUUUCUCUUUCUUGCAAAUCUUCGAACUUAACUUUACCCUAUUGAAAAGUAGGACUAAAAGAUUGGAUAUUCAAGUUUUGUAGGAAAGCUUAAGAAUCUCAACUAUCUACUUGGUUCAAUUGUGACAUCCAACUCAAUUUCUAAAUCCCUACAACCAUUUAAGGAAUUUAUAGUACUUACCUUUGUUGGAAUCUAUAGUAUGCCACAAUCAAAGGAACCAGAAAAAGUAACUAAACACAUCUACAAGAAAAUUAUACAAUUUAGGAAGUUCCAAACUUCUAGUGCAUGAGGCUUUCUGCAUUGCAAGCUUCAUGGAGGACUCAAAUAUAUAAAGCCUUCCCCUCACACCAAAUGGAGGCUAUUUAUGUGAUUUUAACCAAUGACCUUCAAAUCAUAAUGGAGCAAACUUAUCAUUGCACCAACUUACAAGGGAGAAACCUUAUCCUUCACCUCCCCACAACCAUUCCAAGGUAUUAUGACAAAGUCGAUAUGAAUUUUAUAGUAGAUUUUAU
RNAcentral lists this unclassified non-coding RNA (863 nucleotides) under Hevea brasiliensis (rubber tree). The record is from RNAcentral. Lineage: Eukaryota; Viridiplantae; Streptophyta; Magnoliopsida; Malpighiales; Euphorbiaceae.